This 84-nucleotide transfer RNA is filed under the name Thermoplasmatota archaeon. RNAcentral describes it as "Candidatus Thermoplasmatota archaeon tRNA-Leu". It matches the Rfam family "tRNA". Rfam says of the family: Transfer RNA (tRNA) molecules are approximately 80 nucleotides in length. Their secondary structure includes four short double-helical elements and three loops (D, anti-codon, and T loops). Further hydrogen bonds mediate the characteristic L-shaped molecular structure. tRNAs have two regions of fundamental functional importance: the anti-codon, which is responsible for specific mRNA codon recognition, and the 3' end, to which the tRNAs corresponding amino acid is attached (by aminoacyl-tRNA synthetases). tRNAs cope with the degeneracy of the genetic code in two manners: having more than one tRNA (with a specific anti-codon) for a particular amino acid; and 'wobble' base-pairing, i.e. permitting non-standard base-pairing at the 3rd anti-codon position. The record is from RNAcentral. Lineage: Archaea; Methanobacteriati; Thermoplasmatota.
GCAGGGGUGCCCAAGCUUGGUUAAGGGGCAGGGCUUAGGACCCUGUGACGUAGGUCAUCGAGAGUUCAAAUCUCUCCCCCUGCA